GUAACACGUGGGUAACCUGCCUGUAAGACUGGGAUAACUCCGGGAAACCGGAGCUAAUACCGGAUAGUUCCUUGAACCGCAUGGUUCAAGGAUGAAAGACGGUUUCGGCUGUCACUUACAGAUGGACCCGCGGCGCAUUAGCUAGUUGGUGGGGUAAUGGCUCACCAAGGCGACGAUGCGUAGCCGACCUGAGAGGGUGAUCGGCCACACUGGGACUGAGACACGGCCCAGACUCCUACGGGAGGCAGCAGUAGGGAAUCUUCCGCAAUGGACGAAAGUCUGACGGAGCAACGCCGCGUGAGUGAUGAAGGUUUUCGGAUCGUAAAGCUCUGUUGUUAGGGAAGAACAAGUGCGAGAGUAACUGCUCGCACCUUGACGGUACCUAACCAGAAAGCCACGGCUAACUACGUGCCAGCAGCCGCGGUAAUACGUAGGUGGCAAGCGUUGUCCGGAAUUAUUGGGCGUAAAGGGCUCGCAGGCGGUUUCUUAAGUCUGAUGUGAAAGCCCCCGGCUCAACCGGGGAGGGUCAUUGGAAACUGGGAAACUUGAGUGCAGAAGAGGAGAGUGGAAUUUCCACGUGUAGCGGUGAAAUGCGUAGAGAUGUGGAGGAACACCAGUGGCGAAGGCGACUCUCUGGUCUGUAACUGACGCUGAGGAGCGAAAGCGUGGGGAGCGAACAGGAUUAGAUACCCUGGUAGUCCACGCCGUAAACGAUGAGUGCUAAGUGUUAGGGGGUUUCCGCCCCUUAGUGCUGCAGCUAACGCAUUAAGCACUCCGCCUGGGGAGUACGGUCGCAAGACUGAAACUCAAAGGAAUUGACGGGGGCCCGCACAAGCGGUGGAGCAUGUGGUUUAAUUCGAAGCAACGCGAAGAACCUUACCAGGUCUUGACAUCCUCUGACAACCCUAGAGAUAGGGCUUUCCCUUCGGGGACAGAGUGACAGGUGGUGCAUGGUUGUCGUCAGCUCGUGUCGUGAGAUGUUGGGUUAAGUCCCGCAACGAGCGCAACCCUUGAUCUUAGUUGCCAGCAUUCAGUUGGGCACUCUAAGGUGACUGCCGGUGACAAACCGGAGGAAGGUGGGGAUGACGUCAAAUCAUCAUGCCCCUUAUGACCUGGGCUACACACGUGCUACAAUGGACAGAACAAAGGGCUGCAAGACCGCAAGGUUUAGCCAAUCCCAUAAAUCUGUUCUCAGUUCGGAUCGCAGUCUGCAACUCGACUGCGUGAAGCUGGAAUCGCUAGUAAUCGCGGAUCAGCAUGCCGCGGUGAAUACGUUCCCGGGCCUUGUACACACCGCCCGUCACACCACGAGAGUUUGCAACACCCGAAGUCGGUGAGGUAA
RNAcentral lists this ribosomal RNA (1342 nucleotides) under Bacillus sp. NM33. RNAcentral describes it as "bacterial SSU rRNA". It matches the Rfam family "Bacterial small subunit ribosomal RNA", at positions 110 to 1438 of the family's 1533-position model. Lineage: Bacteria; Bacillati; Bacillota; Bacilli; Caryophanales; Bacillaceae. The record is from RNAcentral.